RNAcentral lists this ribosomal RNA (559 nucleotides) under uncultured bacterium. RNAcentral's name for it is "partial 16S ribosomal RNA". It matches the Rfam family "Bacterial small subunit ribosomal RNA", at positions 355 to 905 of the family's 1533-position model. The record is from RNAcentral.
UGGGGAAUUUUGGACAAUGGGGGAAACCCUGAUCCAGCCAUCCCGCGUGUGCGAUGAAGGCCUUCGGGUUGUAAAGCACUUUUGGCAGGAAAGAAACGUCGCGGGUUAAUACCCCGCGAAACUGACGGUACCUGCAGAAUAAGCACCGGCUAACUACGUGCCAGCAGCCGCGGUAAUACGUAGGGUGCAAGCGUUAAUCGGAAUUACUGGGCGUAAAGCGUGCGCAGGCGGUUCGGAAAGAAAGAUGUGAAAUCCCAGAGCUUAACUUUGGAACUGCAUUUUUAACUACCGGGCUAGAGUGUGUCAGAGGGAGGUGGAAUUCCGCGUGUAGCAGUGAAAUGCGUAGAUAUGCGGAGGAACACCGAUGGCGAAGGCAGCCUCCUGGGAUAACACUGACGCUCAUGCACGAAAGCGUGGGGAGCAAACAGGAUUAGAUACCCUGGUAGUCCACGCCCCAAACGAUGUCAACUAGCUGUUGGGGGCCUUCGGGGCCUUGGUAGCGCAGCUAACGCGUGAAGUUGACCGCCUGGGGAGUACGGUCGCAAGAUUAAAACUCAAA